Molecule: long non-coding RNA, 2523 nt
Organism: Bombyx mori (domestic silkworm)
Lineage: Eukaryota; Metazoa; Arthropoda; Insecta; Lepidoptera; Bombycidae
Exons: 2
Source: RefSeq, a predicted model, not a curated record
CUAAACGUUUUUUUCUUUCGUUAAAACACUGAGUUGUUACGUGAUAAAUAUAUUUGAGUCGCAACAGAUAGCAUUACGGCUUUAUUCACUAGAAUUCUAUAAUGAAUACUUAAUAUUCUAUUUUCGAUUUAAAAAAAAAAAAUGUUUGUCCUUUAUUCGUUCCUAAGUAAUUGAUUUCAUUGUGAUCAAUCAGGAUUUGGUAUAAUGAAUGAAUGAAUGAAUGAUUUAUUUUAUUUCAGACAACAAUAAGUCCAUAUGUGUACAUAGUAUCAUUGAAAUAUACUUAACAUUAACAAAACCAAUCAAAUAAAAAAUAUACAUUUAUUAAAAGUAGCUAUCAGUGGAAUACAUUUCAAAUAUUCCAUUCCACUGAUACCUACUUCGAACCAACCAUUAUUAUUACUAAUAUUAUUUAGUCCGCAAGUGAACCAUGGUACAAUGGUUCAAGUACCGACAGUCAUAACGGUCUGUUAAUGCCUUCAGGAUGCUGUUAGGGCUGACCCGGACCCGGCCAAUCAGGGAUGUGCAUCUUUUCCGCAUGGUCGUAAAGAAACAGUCGACUCGUGCCUCGGCGAACAUUCCCGACGCGCUACAGAACCGAGUAUAAUGAUGUUGACACUACAGAGAAGAUUUCUGUCAUAGUACCAUUAACUUACAACAGGUGGCGCGCGGGUGAUUGUUAAUUAAUUGAUGUUAUCGCACAAUUGACAAUCGUUAGAGUGUAAUUGGUAUUAUGUCCCAACUUUUUGUAAAUCUAAUGCUUGCACGUGUUUUUUUGAUUAUAUUUAAUAGAUUGGACCUGAUGAUGCAGUAUAACAAGGCGAUAGAUAUCGGAUGUUACCACUCCAGGACGUUGGAAAUCUACGUGGAGGCUUUUGAGAUCAGCUGUGAGGGCGUCAUGGGUACAAAAAGAUAUGCAGUGAGACAGAGGCGGAGUGGGAAUACACAAUUUACUGCAAGUGUACGACAUUAUCUUUAUUUAUUUAUUUAUUUCAGUACAGUUACAACGGCUGCCCCACGCUUUAAGCCGAAACGCAUUACUGCUUCACGGAAGAAGCAGGCAGGGUGGUGAUACCUACCCGUGCGGACUCAUAAGAGGUCCUACUUUCUUAGUAGUAUGGAGGCAUUCGAAGUAUUUGUGGCUUGGCAGAGGCUUGUGUAUGACAGGGACAAAGGUUAGCGUCGUGAAACUGGAAAGCUUUACUUUUUUAUCCAGACUGAAUUAACGAAGGCAGAGAAAAUCUCAUCAGAGAAAAAUAUGUAGCGUGCAACAUUCGGUUGCACUCGGGCGUCAUCGGUCGCGAUCGGAGUUCCCGAACGCGCAGGUGUCCCGUGACGUCACACUGCGAGAUUCGCGCGCGUCGAUUUAAGUUGAUUUUAAAACGUAUUAUAAUUUUUAGUUUUAAUUGGUGUCUUGUAGUGCCUAGCGACUUGUUUACUCUUUUUACUUUACAAUAGAACAUUGUACACAUAUUACAUUAUGUAUAUUGUUUAAUUGGUGUGUUUGACUUUUAUGUGUUCGGAGCAUAGUAUCCCGAGAAUACAAAUAACAAACCACAAAUACGAUAAAACAUGCAGUCGAUUUUUUAUGUUAUCUAACUGUUAAUUUCUGUUCAAAUGAAAAUAAAUAAUGGCGCAGAUAUCGAAGUAAAUUUAAAUUAUGAAAAUUUAUUGUAAUCUACUUUUGUGAUAAAUCGCAAUUUGUAAUGAAAUCUUCAGUUAUCUGUAAUUGUAUAGACAUACCCCUUCGAGAAAUAACACCGAAUUAGUUGAAUAAGUAAAAGAUAAUCCCUAAACUAGAUUUAUCAAAGCCGAUUCGUAAUUUGCUCUGCGAUAAAACAAUUCUCGCAAAAGAUUUUUACAUGAAAAAAUUCGUUCUUCAGUGGAAUUGCGUAAAAUGUUUUUCUUUUUAGACAAAGCCUAAUUGAAUUAAAAAGUAAGAUGUCACUGUCAGUUUGUUUCGGUAAUGCGGUAACCCCAGUGAAAUUAUUUCGUCUUCAGUUCAGUUUAAUAAUUUGAGGCUUUUUCCGUAAAAAUGGAAAUUACGCGGUCGUCGAGACACACGAGGAAUUUGAUCGAUAGCGUGUUUGGUAAUUUGGUGCUCAUAUUGUGAUGAAUCAAUCAUUAUUUCAUCACAAUAUGAUGAAAUAAUGCUAAUGUUUCUGGAAAAAAAUAUACAUAUAUAUACACACAAAAAUAUACAUAUACAAAUACAUAUAUGCGUCUAAGUUCUAUUACUGAUUUUGCCUAAAACAAACAUUGUUUAACUAAUUAACAGUAGGUACAUGAAACAAUAAAUAAUGGAUAACCCUUUUACAAUACGAACUUUGUGAAUAGCAGCAGAUUUGAAUAGAACAGCGAACUUGAAUCUAAACGGAAUACACAAAAUCCACUCGUUACAUUUUAAUAAACUAAGGAGCUCACAGAAUUAGCACAACGGCAUUGUGGUUGCCGUGAGAAUUAUUGUUAUUUAUGCUUGUUUGCUGGGAGCGUGUAAAACGUAAAUUAAAAGAUUGAAAUUGG